UACGAGUGCCCCAAGCGUUAUCCGGAAUUAUUGGGCGUAAAGGGUGUGUAGGUGGUUGUGUUAGUCUUCUGUUAAAGCUCCCGGCUCAACCGGGAACAUGCAGAGGAAACGGCACGACUAGAGGAUGUGAGAGGUAAGCGGAACUCAUGGUGUAGGGGUGAAAUCCGUUGAUAUCAUGGGGAACACCAAAAGCGAAGGCAGCUUACUGGCGCAUUCCUGACACUGAAACACGAAAGCGUGGGUAGCGAAUGGA
This 253-nucleotide ribosomal RNA is filed under the name uncultured bacterium. RNAcentral's name for it is "partial 16S ribosomal RNA". It matches the Rfam family "Bacterial small subunit ribosomal RNA", at positions 524 to 776 of the family's 1533-position model. The record is from RNAcentral.